Molecule: small RNA, 172 nt
Filed under: Eubacterium ruminantium
Lineage: Bacteria; Bacillati; Bacillota; Clostridia; Eubacteriales; Eubacteriaceae
Description: Clostridiales-1 RNA
Rfam family: Clostridiales-1 RNA
Source: RNAcentral
UGACAUUAGUGUCAAAAAAUCAAAGCAUAUUUCUCGCUUGCGAGAAAUAUAUGAUUUGAUUUAUUUGACACGCCGAAACACGAAGAAGUAGCAGUUUUCGAAGAAAACUCGCGGAUUCUGAGUGUUUCCAGGAUUGCGCGAAUUGCGCAGCAAUGGAGCAAUCCGUAUGUCA